RNAcentral lists this ribosomal RNA (321 nucleotides) under uncultured Glissomonadida. RNAcentral's name for it is "bacterial SSU rRNA". The stretch from base 102 to 321 matches the Rfam family "Eukaryotic small subunit ribosomal RNA", at positions 734 to 955 of the family's 1831-position model. The record is from RNAcentral. Lineage: Eukaryota; Cercozoa; Glissomonadida.
GAUUUCUGGUUGGACAAGCCUGGCCGGCUCCGUAAGGAAGUCUGUGCCGGGACCCUGUCCGCCAUCCUUGCGGGGAAUGGUGCUACCCUUCACUGGGCUGGCAUCACGAACCGCAUCGUUUACUUUGAAAAAAUUAGAGUGUUUAAAGCAGGCUUACGCUAUGAAUACAUUAGCAUGGAAUAAUAAUAUAGGACUUUUGUUCUAUUUUAUUGGUUUCUAGGGCAGAAGUAAUGAUUGAUAGGGAUAGUUGGGGGUGCUAGUAUUCAGAGGCCAGAGGUGAAAUUCUUGGAUUCUCUGAAGACUAACUUAUGCGAAAGCAUU